This 465-nucleotide ribosomal RNA is filed under the name uncultured bacterium. Its description in RNAcentral is "partial 16S ribosomal RNA". It matches the Rfam family "Bacterial small subunit ribosomal RNA", at positions 28 to 507 of the family's 1533-position model. The record is from RNAcentral.
GACGAACGCUGGCGGCGUGCUUAACACAUGCAAGUCGAACGGAAAGGCCCUGCUUGCAGGGUACUCGAGUGGCGAACGGGUGAGUAACACGUGGGUGAUCUGCCCUGCACUUCGGGAUAAGCCUGGGAAACUGGGUCUAAUACCGGAUAGGAGCCAUUUUUAGUGUGAUGGUUGGAAAGUUUUUUCGGUGUAGGAUGAGCUCGCGGCCUAUCAGCUUGUUGGUGGGGUAAUGGCCUACCAAGGCGGCGACGGGUAGCCGGCCUGAGAGGGUGGACGGCCACAUUGGGACUGAGAUACGGCCCAGACACCUACGGGAGGCAGCAGUGGGGAAUAUUGCACAAGGGGCGCAAGCCUGAUGCAGCGACGCCGCGGGGGGGAUGACGGCCUUCGGGUUGUAAACUCCUUUCGCUAGGGACGAAGCUUUUUGUGACGGUACCUAGAUAAGAAGCACCGGCUAACUACGUG